GAUGAAGAACGCAGCGAAAUGCGAUAAGUAAUGUGAAUUGCAGAAUUCAGUGAAUCAUCGAAUCUUUGAACGCACAUUGCGCCCGCUAGUAUUCUGGCGGGCAUGCCUGUCCGAGCGUCAUUUCAACCCUCAAGCCCCCGGGCUUGGUGUUGGGGAUCGGCGAGCCUCCGCGCCCGCCGUCCCCUAAAUCUAGUGGCGGUCUCGCUGUAGCUUCCUCUGCGUAGUAGCACACCUCGCACUGGGAAACAGCGCGGCCACGCCGUUAAACCCCCAACUUCUGAACGUUUGACCUCGGAUCAGGUAGGAAUACCCGCUGAACUAAAGCAUAUCAAUAAGCGGAGGA
Molecule: unclassified non-coding RNA, 343 nt
Filed under: soil metagenome
Description: partial contains 5.8S ribosomal RNA, internal transcribed spacer 2, and large subunit ribosomal RNA
Rfam family: 5.8S ribosomal RNA (bases 1-120)
Source: RNAcentral